RNAcentral lists this ribosomal RNA (1218 nucleotides) under Triticum aestivum (bread wheat). Its description in RNAcentral is "partial small subunit ribosomal RNA". Lineage: Eukaryota; Viridiplantae; Streptophyta; Magnoliopsida; Poales; Poaceae. The record is from RNAcentral.
AUGACGGGGAAGUGGGAUGAGGGGUUAAUUCGAUCAAUAUUCAAUCAUGUGGACACCACUAGAAUUCUCCAAAUCCCACUCAACUAUGGUGCAUUUGAUGACUUUAUAGCUUGGCACCCGGAACUGCGAGGUUUUUUUUCUGUUAAAUCAGCAUAUCGGGUACAGUGGAUUCAUACUUUUCAGAACCAUGCAAACAUAAUGGGUCGCCCAGGAGGGUCUGCAGCACCGGCAGUAUGGAGAAUGCUAUGGAAGCAAAAAGUCCCUCGUAAAAUUCAGAUUUUUGGAUGGAGGGCAUUACAUGGAAUAAUCCCUUUAAAGUCGAUUCUCGUUAACAGACAUGUGGGAGGGAAUGGAGCUUGUCCUAUUUGCCAUCAAGCAGCAGAAGGUAUCUGCCAUCUCUUGUUUGAAUGUGUCAAUGCAAGAGAACUCUGGGAGCAACUCGGCAUGACUAGCAUUAUUCAGGAUGCUUUGCGGAUCGAUCGAUCGGGAUCGGUAGUCCUGGAGCACUUACUCCUUCAGCCAGAGAUGAUGCUUGCGAUCAAAACAAACCUAUCGGUAAAGCAAGUCCUUUUGGUGGCAUGCUGGUACUUGUGGUGGAUACGACGUGAAUUGACACAUGAUGGAAAGCCACCACCUGCUACGCGAUGGCAUACUUCGGUGUUGGCAAUUGCAAAUAAUUUUUAUGAAGCUUCUCUACCUAGAUCAGGGACCAAGCAUCUGGGGUGGAUGAAGCCAGAUAUUGGGUAUGUGAAACUAAAUGUUGAUGUGGCCUUCUAUCUAGAUGAAGGAAGAGGGGCAACCGCGGCUGUGAUUAGGGACGGAAAAGGUAACUUCCUUGUUGCACAUUGCAUCUACUUAGACUAUGCUGCUGAUGCAACGAUGGCUGAAGCUAUGGCAAUGAGGGACGGGCUCAUAUUUGCUAACUCUUUGGGAUUUCCUCGGGUGGAAGCUGAAUCGGACUCACAAGUGGUGAUAAAUUAUUGUGACGGACAAUCCAUAUGGUGGGAUGUGGCAGCUGCAAUCUUUGCGGAAUGCCUGGAUGUGUCUACUUCGAUCGGGAAGGUCGUCUUUAAGCAUUGUUCUCGUACGCUUAAUAAAGCAGCGCAUGUGCUUGCUCAAUUUUCUUAUUGUAAUAAGACUUCUGUUAGUUGGACUGAGGAGCCGCCGAGCUGCCUAGUCCCGGUACUUGUGGAUGAUGUACUGCCUUUGAACAAUUAG